GGAAGGCAGCAGGCGCGCAAAUUACCCAAUUCCGAUACGGAGAGGUAGUGACAAUAAAUACUGAUACAGGGCUCUUUUGGGUCUUGUAAUUGGAAUGAGUACAAUUUAAACCUCUUAACGAGGAACAAUUGGAGGGCAAGUCUGGUGCCAGCAGCCGCGGUAAUUCCAGCUCCAAUAGCGUAUAUUAAAGUUGUUGCAGUUAAAAAGCUCGUAGUUGAACCUUGGGCCUGGCUGGCCGGUCCGCCUCACCGCGUGCACUGGUCCGGCCGGGCCUUUUCUUCUGGAGAACCGCAUGCCCUUCACUGGGUGUGUUGGGGACCAGGACUUUUACUUUGAAAAAAUUAGAGUGUUCAAAGCAGGCCUUUGCUCGAAUACGUUAGCAUGGAAUAAUAGAAUAGGACGUGCGGUCCUAUUUUGUUGGUUUCUAGGACCGCCGUAAUGAUUAAUAGGGACAGUCGGGGGCAUCAGUAUUCAAUUGUCAGAGGUGAAAUUCUUGGAUUUAUUGAAGACUAACUACUGCGAAAGCAUUUGCCAAGGAUGUUUUCAUUAAUCAGGGAACGAAAGUUAGGGGAUCGAAGACGAUCAGAUACCGUCGUAGUCUUAACCAUAAACUAUGCCGACUAGGGAUCGGGCGGUGUUUCUAUUGUGACCCGCUCGGCACCUUACGGGAAAC
RNAcentral lists this ribosomal RNA (673 nucleotides) under Paraglomus occultum. Its description in RNAcentral is "SSU rRNA". It matches the Rfam family "Eukaryotic small subunit ribosomal RNA", at positions 420 to 1098 of the family's 1831-position model. Lineage: Eukaryota; Fungi; Glomeromycota; Glomeromycetes; Paraglomerales; Paraglomeraceae. RNAcentral also lists the same sequence under 1 other name. The record is from RNAcentral.